This is a long non-coding RNA of Malaclemys terrapin pileata, 732 nucleotides long. RefSeq lists it as uncharacterized. NCBI's taxonomy places the organism in Eukaryota, Metazoa, Chordata, Testudines, Emydidae. The record is from RefSeq and is a predicted model, not a curated record. The transcript has 4 exons.
AUCAAAUGAAAAAAUAUUUAGACUCUAGAUAUGUGUCUUCAUAGGCACCUUCCUCGUAGGAAAGUGAGGGGGAAAACAGCUCCUGCUUAUCCAGAUGAGAUAGAGCCACAUUACGUUCGGUUGCAUCAUACAAUGCAAGCUGUGGGCUCCCCAGCACAAUGAUUACUUUCCCACUGUCCAGACAUCGCUGAGAUCAGAAGAGGCCCUUCCACACUCCAGCAGCAGCCUGGGAUCUCCAAUUGUUAUGGAUUGGUCAAAGAGGAAGCGUUUCUGUGACAAACUUAGGGUGGACAUCCUGGAGACGGCCAACCAGCAGGUGCAGGACCAAAGGGGAAAGAAGUCUCAGCACAUGGAAAGGCGGCAGAGCUGCAGCGUGGGAGGAGAGACUUCCCCUGGAGCAGGACUGCAGCAAAAAGACCUGUUUGAGGGGCUGCUUGCAGUAAUGGCCACAAGGCUUCUGCCCCCCGUUCUGAGUGCCCUCCAGGGUGCCAUGUCUUGCGGGCCAGGAAUGCAUUGGACAAUACCAUGGUCUGGUGGCCCGUGCAGCUUGGACAGGGUAAAUGUACUCCUGGCAGUCCUCACCCCCUCGCAGCCCUCCACGCACCUUCAGCAGCUCCAUAUAGGUGGUAGAAAGGAGGAGGAGAAAGGGGGCUCAGGGCCAUGCAAAGGCAUUGCAGAUUUUGGAGGCCAUAUCAGUUCUUGUGGUGCCCGACUGGCGAAGAGAAAUGUCAU